This 386-nucleotide ribosomal RNA is filed under the name uncultured fungus. RNAcentral's name for it is "partial small subunit ribosomal RNA". It matches the Rfam family "Eukaryotic small subunit ribosomal RNA", at positions 30 to 432 of the family's 1831-position model. Lineage: Eukaryota; Fungi. The record is from RNAcentral.
GCUUGUCUCAAAGAUUAAGCCAUGCAUGUCUUAGUGUAAAUAACUCUUAUGAAACUGCGAAUGGCUCAUUAAAUCAGUUAUCAAAUACGUGAUGGUCGCCUACUACAUGGAUAACCGUAGUAAUUCUAGAGCUAAUACAUGCACAAAGGCCCAUUCACGUGGGUUGUGAUUAUUAGAUUCAAACCGGCCUCGUUCUGGUGACUCUGAAUAACUUUGGGCUGAUCGUAUGGCCUUGUGCCGACGACGUUUCCUUCGAAGGUGUGCCCUAUCAACUGUCGACUGUGAUAUAGACGCUCACAGUGGUUUUGACGGGUAACGGGGAAUCAGGGUUCGAUUCCGGAGAGGGAGCCUUAAAAACGGCUACCACAUCCAAGGAAGGCAGCAGG